CAUGGGGAAGGGGCAAAGUACACAUACUUACAGUGUCAGGGUUGAAAGGCUUUCUUAGUGCACACCUGGGCUCCCCCACCCCGCUCCAUCUUAUAAAUGAAGAAGCUGAGGCCCAGAGAGGUCACUUGCCCAAAGUCACACAGUAGUUGAGCCAGGUUCACAGCAAGGCCCCUUCAUUUCCAAUCCAUAACUCUCCUUAUUCCUGCAAGUAGCUGCCUUUCAGGCUCUGUAGAAACUAUGCCCUUUCCACAGGAAAUACAGGACUUUCCUGCUCAAUCCAGUCACAUACACACCUACACUCCCAUCCCCAGUGCAUCAGCAGCAGAGGAAACACAUCUCUCUAGGGCUACUGGAUUAGUUCACACUCGAAGCCACUGGUAUCUGGCAUGGCUAGAAGGGAAAGCUGCUAGAUGAAAUCUAUUUAUCAGAGAAAGGAAGGCUAGAACAUUUUUCAACAGCUCAGGUCCUGUUCUCUACAAGCGAUACUGGCACAUAAGCCAGGGAGGGGAGACGAGGUUGGGGCAGUAAAAGCUCGGAACUGGGUUGUUAGAAAACUGGAAUCUUCUGAUUCUUGUUCUGUUAACUUCCUAGGUGUCCUUGGGCAAAUGAGUUUUCCUCUCUGGAUCUCAUUUUCUUCAUAUAUAAAAUGAGAUGGUUAAAUUUGAUCAGUUCCUCAAACUUUGUACCAUAAAGAAUAUCUCUUUAUUAUAUUUCCUCCCAAACUCUGCUAUCAAACUGUAGUUUAAGUGAUCAUCUGUUGUGGUCCUUUUGUAGGUAUAGAUAUGAUUUUGUUAUUUUUGAAAUGCUGGAAAACACUGGAAUUCCUAGGUCCCUCCCUUUAGUGACAAACAAUUGGUGACUCUAGAGCUCUAGGGCCUCCUCCAGGACUGAAAGGAUGAUUCAUGGACCCUCAAGCCCCUAAGAUACCAUUGUCAAAAGGGACUUUAUAGAGUCUCUAGGCCAGCCCUCUGAUUUGACAAAUUGAGAUUGAGGCUGGAGAGCAAAGGAAAGUGCAGGCUCCCGGAUCACAUCCUGGAGUCAGGGCUGCACUGCAAGAGCACUCAGGUCUCUUCUCCUUGCUGGGUGCAUUCACCAUUGUACCCUGCUGUCCUCACCGACUUUGGUCCUUCAAUUUGCUUUAACUGUCAAGAACGAACCCUCAGACCUUUCCUGCCUUCUCUGAUUCUCCACACCUGCUCAUCUGACCUUUACGUCCUGCCUGCCCAUCUGGGCCUGGCUGGACUUCUGCUCUGCCUCUGGACACCUGCCUGUGCUCCUAAGGCUCUCCAGCAUCCCUAGGGAGUUAAUGCCAGCUCUGCCAAACGACCUCUGUCCUGCUGCAGCCCACGCUCUGGCAUGGCACCAAGACAUGUGGGGCCCUACCUUUCCAGCAUGUGGGGGAGUUACACAGACACCACACAGAUGCCAGGACAGCCUGUGGCAGACUCCCAGAGCCCUGGGACAGCCAACACAAUAAUGGCAGCCAGUUCCCAGGCUCUCGUUGGGUCUCAGGGAGCUCACCCCACCCUCCUCUCCAGCAGUCCCUGUCUGCUCAAGGUAGUGAGCUUGGCAUCUAACCCAUAGCUCCCUGGAAACUUAGAUUAAAUCACAGCCACACAGUCACCAAUUAAACAAAUGUAACAUCUGAUAAGGGCUGUUACCUCUACACAUAGACAAAAGAAUGAAUUUGGGAGCUGGGGGUGCUGUUGGCAAUUAAUAGGAAGAUAUGUCCAUUAUAGCCACUCAUCCAAUGAAUCAAGAAAGAUUUCUUGGAAAAAAAUGGGAUUCCAGAUCCAUUUGAGUAAUGUGUCCCUAUGCCUAUCACUCCUGGAAAUUAAAUGAUUUAAUUUAACUCUGGUGCACUUAUCUCCAAAAACCCAGAAAGACUCACGGAAUUUCAGAUAGACUGGCAGCAAUAAACGGUGGUGCCAUUCUU
RNAcentral lists this long non-coding RNA (1936 nucleotides) under Homo sapiens (human). RNAcentral describes it as "non-protein coding lnc-TIMP4-2:1". The record is from RNAcentral. Lineage: Eukaryota; Metazoa; Chordata; Mammalia; Primates; Hominidae.